GACGAACGCUGGCGGCGUGCCUAAUACAUGCCAGUCGUGCGGACCUUGUUGAAAGCUUGCUUUUAAAAGGUUAGCGGCGGACGGGUGAGUAACACGUGGGCAACCUGCCUGUAAGACUGGGAUAACGCCGGGAAACCGGGGCUAAUACCAGAUCGUUUUUUCCUCCGCAUGGAGGAAAAAGGAAAGGCGGCUUCGGCUGCCACUUACAGAUGGGCCCGCGGCGCAUUAGCUAGUUGGCGGGGUAAUGGCCCACCAAGGCAACGAUGCGUAGCCGACCUGAGAGGGUGAUCGGCAACAUUGGGACUGAGACACGGCCCAAACUCCUACGGGAGGCAGCAGUAGGGAAUCUUCCGCAAUGGACGAAAGUCUGACGGAGCAACGCCGCGUGAGUGAAGAAGGCCUUCGGGUCGUAAAACUCUGUUGCCGGGGAAGAACAAGUGCCGUUCGAACAGGGCGGCGCCUUGACGGUACCCGGCCAGAAAGCCACGGCUAACUACGUG
This 500-nucleotide ribosomal RNA is filed under the name uncultured bacterium. RNAcentral's name for it is "partial 16S ribosomal RNA". It matches the Rfam family "Bacterial small subunit ribosomal RNA", at positions 28 to 507 of the family's 1533-position model. The record is from RNAcentral.